RNAcentral lists this unclassified non-coding RNA (330 nucleotides) under soil metagenome. RNAcentral's name for it is "partial contains 5.8S ribosomal RNA, internal transcribed spacer 2, and large subunit ribosomal RNA". The stretch from base 1 to 120 matches the Rfam family "5.8S ribosomal RNA", at positions 35 to 154 of the family's 154-position model. The record is from RNAcentral.
GAUGAAGAACGUAGCGAAAUGCGAUAAGUAGUGUGAAUUGCAGAAUUCAGUGAAUCAUCGAAUCUUUGAACGCACAUUGCGCCCUCUGGUAUUCCGGGGGGCAUGCCUGUUCGAGCGUCAUUAUAACCACUCAAGCUCUCGCUUGGUAUUGGGGUUCGCGGUUUCGCGGCCCCUAAAAUCAGUGGCGGUGCCUGUCGGCUCUACGCGUAGUAAUACUCCUCGCGAUUGAGUCCGGUAGGUCUACUUGCCAGCAACCCCUAAUUUUUUUAAGGUUGACCUCGGAUCAGGUAGGGAUACCCGCUGAACUUAAGCAUAUCAAUAAGCGGAGGA